GAUGAACGCUGGCGGCGUGCCUAAUACAUGCAAGUCGAGCGAACGGACGAGAAGCUUGCUUCUCUGAUGUUAGCGGCGGACGGGUGAGUAACACGUGGAUAACCUACCUAUAAGACUGGGAUAACUUCGGGAAACCGGAGCUAAUACCGGAUAAUAUUUUGAACCGCAUGGUUCAAAAGUGAAAGACGGUCUUGCUGUCACUUAUAGAUGGAUCCGCGCUGCAUUAGCUAGUUGGUAAGGUAACGGCUUACCAAGGCAACGAUGCAUAGCCGACCUGAGAGGGUGAUCGGCCACACUGGAACUGAGACACGGUCCAGACUCCUACGGGAGGCAGCAGUAGGGAAUCUUCCGCAAUGGGCGAAAGCCUGACGGAGCAACGCCGCGUGAGUGUUGAAGGUCUUCGGAUCGUAAAACUCUGUUAUUAGGGAAGAACAUAUGUGUAAAUAACUGUGCACAUCUUGACGGUACCUAAUCAGAAAGCCACGGCUAACUACGUG
This 497-nucleotide ribosomal RNA is filed under the name uncultured bacterium. Its description in RNAcentral is "partial 16S ribosomal RNA". It matches the Rfam family "Bacterial small subunit ribosomal RNA", at positions 28 to 507 of the family's 1533-position model. The record is from RNAcentral.